Molecule: ribosomal RNA, 253 nt
Filed under: uncultured bacterium
Lineage: Bacteria
Description: partial 16S ribosomal RNA
Rfam family: Bacterial small subunit ribosomal RNA
Source: RNAcentral
UACGAAGGGGGCUAGCGUUGUUCGGAAUUACUGGGCGUAAAGGGCGCGCAGGCGGCCCUCCAAGUCAGUGGUGAAAGCCCGGAGCUCAACUCCGGAACUGCCAUUGAAACUGUUUAGCUUGAGGAUGAGAGAGGUGAGUGGAAUUCCCAGUGUAGAGGUGAAAUUCGUAGAUAUUGGGAAGAACACCGGUGGCGAAGGCGGCUCACUGGCUCAUUACUGACGCUCAGGCGCGAUAGCGUGGGGAUCAAACAGG